Molecule: long non-coding RNA, 190 nt
Organism: Haliotis rufescens (red abalone)
Lineage: Eukaryota; Metazoa; Mollusca; Gastropoda; Lepetellida; Haliotidae
Exons: 3
Source: RefSeq, a predicted model, not a curated record
GCCAGCGCAGAACAAGGGGAGACACAGUUUAGCGCCAGUAAAGGUCAAAAAAGCAUCAUGAACACCGCCAUCUUGGUCAUCAUCGCCAUCGGCAUCACAUGUUCCUUUGCAAGUAACACAAGAGAUGUUCGAUCAGCAUCAACCUCAACCUCAACCUCAACCUCGACCUCGACCUCAACAUCUUCAGAAG